This is a non-coding RNA of Acanthosepion pharaonis, 112 nucleotides long. The record is from the annotation of a GenBank genome assembly. NCBI's taxonomy places the organism in Eukaryota, Metazoa, Mollusca, Cephalopoda, Sepiida, Sepiidae.
UACGGACAUAUCACGUUGAAACACCAUUUCCCGUACGAUCAUCGAAGUUAAGCAGGGUUGAGCUUGAUCAGUAUCUAGAUGGGUGGCCGCUUAGGAAUACCAGGUGCUGUAA